This is a long non-coding RNA of Spinacia oleracea (spinach), 429 nucleotides long. RefSeq lists it as uncharacterized. NCBI's taxonomy places the organism in Eukaryota, Viridiplantae, Streptophyta, Magnoliopsida, Caryophyllales, Amaranthaceae. The transcript has 2 exons. The record is from RefSeq and is a predicted model, not a curated record.
GGGCAUAACAAAUUGAAGAGAGAGAAACACCUCCUUCCUCAAUAUUUCUGAAGAACAAGAUAGAAAAAUGCCUCAUCAUCUCAACAGUUCCGAAUUUCUUAUCUCCUCACCAUUUCUGCAGAAAAUCAAUUCUUCAAGGAAAAGAGAGACGGUUUCUUAUACUCCCCGAAUUGACAUGGUGACAUUUCUUGUUCAUGGUUUAUUAUCUCGUCCUCCAUCGGAGUGGACAUUGUGGUGUUUGUGACGUUUAUUACCAUGUUGUAUGGUUGGAUUCUCCUUUUUGGUACCCUUAUGUUAUUCUCGCUUUUGGAUUCUCCAUUUUUGGGAACUUUAUAUUGUAUUUUUAUUAAGUGUUAUGACGUUUGAUAUUAUUGUAUUUUUAUUAAGUGUUAUGACGUUUGAUAUAAUAAGCCUUGAAUUUAACAGUAA